UUGACGGGACCCGCACAAGCGUGGAUGAUGUGGAUUAAUUCGAUGCAACGCGAAAAACCUUUACCUACCCUUGACAUGUCUGGAACCUUGGUGAGAGCCGAGGGUGCCUUCGGGAGCCAGAACACAGGUGCUGCAUGGCUGUCGUCAGCUCGUGUCGUGAGAUGUUGGGUUAAGUCCCGCAACGAGCGCAACCCUUGUCACUAGUUGCCAUCAUUUAGUUGGGCACUCUAGUGAGACUGCCGGUGACAAACCGGAGGAAGGUGGGGAUGACGUCAAGUCCUCAUGGCCCUUAUGGGUAGGGCUUCACACGUCAUACAAUGGUCGGUACAGAGGGUUGCCAAGCCGCGAGGUGGAGCCAAUCCCUUAAAGCCGAUCGUAGUCCGGAUCGCAGUCUGCAACUCGACUGCGUGAAGUCGGAAUCGCUAGUAAUCGCGCAUCAGCCAUGGCCGCGGUCGAAUACGUUCCGGGCCUU
Molecule: ribosomal RNA, 472 nt
Filed under: uncultured Thauera sp.
Lineage: Bacteria; Pseudomonadati; Pseudomonadota; Betaproteobacteria; Rhodocyclales; Zoogloeaceae
Description: bacterial SSU rRNA
Rfam family: Bacterial small subunit ribosomal RNA
Source: RNAcentral